Molecule: non-coding RNA, 97 nt
Organism: Acanthosepion pharaonis
Lineage: Eukaryota; Metazoa; Mollusca; Cephalopoda; Sepiida; Sepiidae
Source: the annotation of a GenBank genome assembly
CGCUGAGACACCGGUUUACAUACGAUCACCGAAGUUAAGCAACAUUGCGCCUGGUUAAUACCUAGAUGGGUGAGUGUUUGGGAAUGCCAUGUUUUGU